AGAGUACGUGAAACCGUUCAGGGGUAAACCUGCGAAACUCGAAUGAACGAACGGAGAGAUUCAUCGUCAAUCCGCGGCGUACCUGCGUGUACUCUUCGAUGUCGCGUGUACCGCGGUCGGUGACGAUCGUGCGUCUCGCGGCACGGGUCACGCUCGUCGACGUCCACGGACGGCGUGCACUUCUCUCUCAGUAUAAAUAUGCAUCGCGACCCGUUCGAUGUCGGUCUAAGCGCCGCGCGGGAGCCUAGCGGCUCCGCUCCUCACGGGGCCCAGCCGCUAGACCGCCGCGGUGGCCGACCGGCCGUCGGACGGUUCUUACGGACACACUAUCGAAUCGCGCACGCGUGUUCUCGAACAGCGCGUCCGGCCCGACGCAAGACCUCGUCGCAGUCCGGCCGUCUGCCUUUGUGCGACACCGGACUCGGCGGAUCUGCAUCAUUAGAUAGCUGCCGUGCAGUCUCGGACCGUGCGCGUGUCAAGUCUGCGAUGAUUCAGUUUCGGG
This 502-nucleotide ribosomal RNA is filed under the name Paranthrene simulans. RNAcentral's name for it is "partial large subunit ribosomal RNA". The record is from RNAcentral. Lineage: Eukaryota; Metazoa; Arthropoda; Insecta; Lepidoptera; Sesiidae.